RNAcentral lists this ribosomal RNA (497 nucleotides) under uncultured bacterium. RNAcentral describes it as "partial 16S ribosomal RNA". It matches the Rfam family "Bacterial small subunit ribosomal RNA", at positions 28 to 507 of the family's 1533-position model. The record is from RNAcentral.
GAUGAACGCUGGCGGCGUGCCUAAUACAUGCCAGUCGAGCGAACGGACGAGAAGCUUGCUUCUCUGAUGUUAGCGGCGGACGGGUGAGUAACACGUGGAUAACCUACCUAUAAGACUGGGAUAACUUCGGGAAACCGGAGCUAAUACCGGAUAAUAUUUUGAACCGCAUGGUUCAAAAGUAAAAGACGGUCUUGCUGUCACUUAUAGAUGGAUCCGCGCUGCAUUAGCUAGUUGGUAAGGUAACGGCUUACCAAGGCAACGAUGCAUAGCAGACCUGAGAGGGUGAUCGGCCACACUGGAACUGAGACACGGUCAAGACUCCUACGGGAGGCAGCAGUAGCGAAUCUUCCGCAAUGGGCGAAAGCCUGACGGAGCAACGCCGCGUGAGUGAUGAAGGUCUUCGGAUCGUAAAACUCUGUUAUUAGGGAAGAACAUAUGUGUAAGUAACUGUGCACAUCUUGACGGUACCUAAUCAGAAAGCCACGGCUAACUACGUG